AUUUUUCAGCAAGAGUCAGUUUACGACACUGCUCUGUGAAGGAAGUGAAAACAUGUUACGAUCAAGUACAGUGGGAAGCCAGGAUGGGGAAGAGUUGUGCAUGUCAGUACCCAUGUGAAGAGACAUCGUAUGACAUACAGGUAUCAUCCAUGGUACUGCCAUCAAAUGUCACCUUCCCGUCUACUUUACUGAAUGCGGCAUAUACCCCUGACAAGAUAAGACAAAAUUACCUGGUUCUACAAAUCAG
Haliotis rubra (blacklip abalone) is the source of this 247-nucleotide long non-coding RNA. RefSeq lists it as uncharacterized. NCBI's taxonomy places the organism in Eukaryota, Metazoa, Mollusca, Gastropoda, Lepetellida, Haliotidae. The record is from RefSeq and is a predicted model, not a curated record. The transcript has 3 exons.